GACGAACGCUGGCGGCGUGCUUAACACAUGCCAGUCGAACGGAAAGGCCCUGCUUUUGUGGGGUGCUCGAGUGGCGAACGGGUGGGUAACACGUGAGUAACCUGCCCUUGACUUUGGGAUAACUUCAGGAAACUGGGGCUAAUACCGGAUAGGAGCUCCUGCUGCAUGGUGGGGGUUGGAAAGUUUCGGCGGUUGGGGAUGGCCUCGCGGCUUAUCAGCUUGUUGGUGGGGUAGUGGCUUACCAAGGCUUUGACGGGUAGCCGGCCUGAGAGGGUGACCGGCCACAUUGGGACUGAGAUACGGCCCAGACUCCUACGGGAGGCAGCAGUGGGGAAUAUUGCACAAUGGGCGGAAGCCUGAUGCAGCAACGCCGCGUGCGGGAUGACGGCCUUCGGGUUGUAAACCGCUUUCGCCUGUGACGAAGCGUGAGUGACGGUAAUGUGUAAAGAAGCACCGGCUAACUACGUG
This 468-nucleotide ribosomal RNA is filed under the name uncultured bacterium. RNAcentral describes it as "partial 16S ribosomal RNA". It matches the Rfam family "Bacterial small subunit ribosomal RNA", at positions 28 to 507 of the family's 1533-position model. The record is from RNAcentral.